UACGUAGGGGGCAAGCGUUGUCCGGAUUUAUUGGGCGUAAAGCGCUCGCAGGCGGCCCGAUGCGUCGUGCGUGAAACACCCCGGCUUAACUGGGGAGGGUCGUGCGAUACGGUCGGGCUUGAGGGCAGUAGGGGGAUGCGGAAUUCCGGGUGUAGUGGUGGAAUGCGUAGAGAUCCGGAGGAACACCAGCGGCGAAGGCGGCAUCCUGGACUGGUACUGACGCUCAUGAGCGAAAGCGUGGGUAGCGAAUGGG
RNAcentral lists this ribosomal RNA (253 nucleotides) under uncultured bacterium. Its description in RNAcentral is "partial 16S ribosomal RNA". It matches the Rfam family "Bacterial small subunit ribosomal RNA", at positions 524 to 776 of the family's 1533-position model. The record is from RNAcentral.